GGAGAAGUACCCAAGUGGCCGAAGGGGCUCCCCUGCUAAGGGAGUAGUGUGCGAAAGUGCAGCCCGGGUUCAAAUCCCGGCUUCUCCGCCA
Molecule: transfer RNA, 91 nt
Filed under: Clostridiales bacterium
Lineage: Bacteria; Bacillati; Bacillota; Clostridia; Eubacteriales
Description: tRNA-Ser
Rfam family: tRNA
About the family: Transfer RNA (tRNA) molecules are approximately 80 nucleotides in length. Their secondary structure includes four short double-helical elements and three loops (D, anti-codon, and T loops).
Source: RNAcentral